UACGUAGGGUGCAAGCGUUAUCCGGAAUUAUUGGGCGUAAAGAGCUCGUAGGCGGCUUGUCGCGUCUGCUGUGAAAACUGGAGGCUCAACCUCCAGCCUGCAGUGGGUACGGGCAAACUAGAGUGCGGUAGGGGAGAUUGGAAUUCCUGGUGUAGCGGUGAAAUGCGCAGAUAUCAGGAGGAACACCAGUGGCGAAGGCGCCGCUCUGGGCCGUGACUGACGCUGAGGAGCGAAAGCGUGGGUAGCAAACAGG
This 253-nucleotide ribosomal RNA is filed under the name uncultured bacterium. RNAcentral's name for it is "partial 16S ribosomal RNA". It matches the Rfam family "Bacterial small subunit ribosomal RNA", at positions 524 to 776 of the family's 1533-position model. The record is from RNAcentral.